UACGUAGGGGGCUAGCGUUGUCCGGAUUUAUUGGGCGUAAAGAGCGUGUAGGCGGCCAUGUAGGUCCGGUGUGAAAACUCGAGGCUUAACCUCGAGAUGUCAUCGGAAACCAUUUGGCUAGAGUCCGGAAGAGGAGAGUGGAAUUCCUGGUGUAGCGGUGAAAUGCGCAGAUAUCAGGAGGAACACCGAUGGCGAAGGCAGGUCUCUGGGCCAUUACUGACACUGAGAAGCGAAAGCAUGGGGAGCGAACAGG
This 253-nucleotide ribosomal RNA is filed under the name uncultured bacterium. RNAcentral's name for it is "partial 16S ribosomal RNA". It matches the Rfam family "Bacterial small subunit ribosomal RNA", at positions 524 to 776 of the family's 1533-position model. The record is from RNAcentral.